Macaca mulatta (Rhesus monkey) is the source of this 763-nucleotide long non-coding RNA. RefSeq lists it as uncharacterized. The record is from RefSeq and is a predicted model, not a curated record. NCBI's taxonomy places the organism in Eukaryota, Metazoa, Chordata, Mammalia, Primates, Cercopithecidae.
AUGUCUGACAGUCCCAGAGAUAAGACACAAUGAAUUCAAUAGGACAGUAUGGUCAUUUUAAGUCAUCAGAAUGUCUGCAAAAGGAGUGAAGAGAAACAGAAUCAGACAGAGGCGGAAAGAGUGGGGGAGGGCUUGUUUAGGGAGACUGAAAAGGACGGGCGUUAAGCCUGUAAAGCAGAAAAAGGCUACCAAGAAGCCUAACUGGUACAGGAGAAAAAGAAGUUCGGGGAUGAUAUUGACCAAAUCCUCGACGCUGGCACAGGAGUUGGGGAGUCCGGCAAGACCAGCCUUUGUUGACUUCCCACUUUCCCCGAUUUUUAAGCACAGGUCUGCUUUAAAACUCUCCCGCUGCCCCUAACCAAUUUUAAGAGCACCUUGCCAAGCAGAUAGUAAUGGAUCAAUAAAAUGUCGAAUCAGUGAAUAAAUAGCAGAUGAAAUCAGCAAAGUGCCCAGAGAAGUGACUCUUACAUAUUUCAAGUGUUUCAUGUGCUACAGAAUCUGUUGAACAAGAUAAAGGUUAAGUGCAUUGUGUGGACUUUAACAACUUACAACAGCGGAACCCUUCAAAUGGCACACCAACUGAAUUUACAUAUAUAAGACUAAGAAAAAGCAGGACCCAGAUGCCGCCAGAGGACCACCGUCAAGUACACCUGAAAACUACAGCUUUCAACACUUCACACCACCUUUGUUUUAUGAUACACCUAUCAUGCUGUAGCUAUGAUGAGAGCAUACAAAUAAAUAAAAGACUCAGUCAUUUCCCUCA